AGACCACCAGCUAAGGUCCCAAAAUAUAUGUUAAGUGGAAAAGGAUGUGGCGUUGCCCAGACAACUAGGAUGUUGGCUUAGAAGCAGCCAUCAUUUAAAGAGUGCGUAAUAGCUCACUAGUCGAGUGACACUGCGCCGAAAAUGUACCGGGGCUAAACAUAUUACCGAAGCUGUGGAUUGUCCUUUGGACAAUGGUAGGAGAGCGUUCUAAGGGCGUUGAAGCAUGAUCGUAAGGACAUGUGGAGCGCUUAGAAGUGAGAAUGCCGGUGUGAGUAGCGAAAGACGGGUGAGAAUCCCGUCCACCGAUUGACUAAGGUUUCCAGAGGAAGGCUCGUCCGCUCUGGGUUAGUCGGGUCCUAAGCUGAGGCCGACAGGCGUAGGCGAUGGAUAACAGGUUGAUAUUCCUGUACCACCUAUAAUCGUUUUAAUCG
This 431-nucleotide ribosomal RNA is filed under the name Staphylococcus aureus. RNAcentral describes it as "partial 23S ribosomal RNA". It matches the Rfam family "Bacterial large subunit ribosomal RNA", at positions 1029 to 1465 of the family's 2925-position model. The record is from RNAcentral. Lineage: Bacteria; Bacillati; Bacillota; Bacilli; Caryophanales; Staphylococcaceae.